This 344-nucleotide ribosomal RNA is filed under the name Paenarthrobacter nitroguajacolicus. Its description in RNAcentral is "bacterial SSU rRNA". It matches the Rfam family "Bacterial small subunit ribosomal RNA", at positions 1142 to 1482 of the family's 1533-position model. The record is from RNAcentral. Lineage: Bacteria; Bacillati; Actinomycetota; Actinomycetes; Micrococcales; Micrococcaceae.
UAGGAGACUGCCGGGGUCAACUCGGAGGAAGGUGGGGACGACGUCAAAUCAUCAUGCCCCUUAUGUCUUGGGCUUCACGCAUGCUACAAUGGCCGGUACAAAGGGUUGCGAUACUGUGAGGUGGAGCUAAUCCCAAAAAGCCGGUCUCAGUUCGGAUUGGGGUCUGCAACUCGACCCCAUGAAGUCGGAGUCGCUAGUAAUCGCAGAUCAGCAACGCUGCGGUGAAUACGUUCCCGGGCCUUGUACACACCGCCCGUCAAGUCACGAAAGUUGGUAACACCCGAAGCCGGUGGCCUAACCCUUGUGGGGGGAGCCGUCGAAGGUGGGACCCGGCGAUUGGGACU